CUUCAGACCUACUUGGAGAGGCUGGGGGGAAUCGCAGUCCAGGGGAUUCUGAUACACAAUGAAAUCUGAGGUCCAUUGGUGUAGGGCAUGAAGAAGGCCCCUGUUCUCACUUCAUUCUUCCUGCCCAGGUGGAUGCCCCGUCCCACUGGCAGCCCCAGCAAAGGCUACUUGGGGUCUGCACCUCAAACACAUUUCCUUCAGCCUAAAAGAAAACUUCUAAAGCAUGAGCAGCGAAACUGGAGAGUGGAUCCCUCGUCACAUCUCAGGGCUCGAUUUGUUUGAAGGGCUGAACAUCUUUUUAUGCAAGAAAACAAGGAAGUUCUCAAAGGAUGACAGGGAUGUGUACAAAAUACAAAGCCAA
Molecule: long non-coding RNA, 361 nt
Filed under: Microcebus murinus (gray mouse lemur)
Lineage: Eukaryota; Metazoa; Chordata; Mammalia; Primates; Cheirogaleidae
Description: lncRNA (ENSMICG00000048797.1)
Source: RNAcentral